This 268-nucleotide ribosomal RNA is filed under the name uncultured eukaryote. RNAcentral describes it as "partial small subunit ribosomal RNA". It matches the Rfam family "Eukaryotic small subunit ribosomal RNA", at positions 1161 to 1452 of the family's 1831-position model. The record is from RNAcentral.
AGGGCACCACCAGGAGUGGAGCCUGCGGCUUAAUUUGACUCAACACGGGGAAACUCACCAGGUCCAGACACAAUAAGGAUUGACAGAUUGAGAGCUCUUUCUUGAUUUUGUGGGUGGUGGUGCAUGGCCGUUCUUAGUUGGUGGAGUGAUUUGUCUGCUUAAUUGCGAUAACGAACGAGACCUUAACUCUUAAAUAGGGAGGCUAGCAUUUGCUGGUGCUCUCUUCUUAGGAGGACUAUCUAUUUCAAGUAGAUGGAAGUUUGAGGCA